UACGUAGGGUGCGAGCGUUAAUCGGAAUUACUGGGCGUAAAGCGUGCGUAGGCGGUUCGUUAAGUUCGUUGUGAAAGCCCCGGGCUUAACCUGGGAAUGGCAGUGGAAACUAGAGAACUUGAAUCUGGCAGAGGGGGGUGGAAUGCCACGUGUAGCAGUGAAAUGCGUAGAUAUGUGGCGGAACACCGAUGGCGAAGGCAGCCCCCUGGGCUGAGAUUGACGCUCAGGCACGAAAGCGUGGGGAGCAAACAGG
This 253-nucleotide ribosomal RNA is filed under the name uncultured bacterium. RNAcentral describes it as "partial 16S ribosomal RNA". It matches the Rfam family "Bacterial small subunit ribosomal RNA", at positions 524 to 776 of the family's 1533-position model. The record is from RNAcentral.